RNAcentral lists this ribosomal RNA (119 nucleotides) under Diaphorina citri (Asian citrus psyllid). The record is from RNAcentral. Lineage: Eukaryota; Metazoa; Arthropoda; Insecta; Hemiptera; Psyllidae.
UAACGCGGCGAUAGCACGUUGAAUACACCACUUCCCCAUGGAUCACUGAAGUUAAGCAACGUCGUCCCUGGUCGGUAUCCGGACGGGUGACCAUCUGGGCAUUCUAUGCUAUGCUAAAC